CUACUUCAAUUCUAAAGGGCUUGAUGGCAUCUCUGCUCUUCAACAUUUCAAGCUUUGAGUUGGCUGAUAUGGAUUGAGCAAGUUUAUAUAUAUAUUAAGCAUAAUAAAUGAUUGUAGAAUUGUGGAAUAUUUUCUGAAUAUCAUUUCAAAAGUAAUUUGAAUACAAUCAGUAAUAAAGUGUUUUGAAAUAAUAAAGUUUAUUGGGAGUCAAGUGAAUAUGGUUGCUCAUACUCUUGCUAGGGUGAUCAAUUCUUGGGAUAGUUUCCAUAAUAAUUUCUUGGGCUUUUUCAUUGGUAUUCCGCUUAUAUACGGCAUAUUUGUUUUGUAGUUUCAUUUUUCUCGGCCUCUGUUCGUCUUGUGCAGAGACCGAUUAUUAUUAAUAAUAUUUUGCCGUUAAAAAAAAUAUAUUGUCUUAUGUAUUAUGUAUUGAACGUUUACUAGUUAAUAAAAGGUUAAUGUUACUUGUAGCGAAAAAGUUGUCGUGAAACAACACGACGUAGUGGUGUAACUCAAGUUGGCUUUUUCAACUUUUCAUUCAUCCACCCAUGUUUUCAACUAAAUAAGAAUCUGACGGUUCUGAAUGUUUCGCUAUGAAUUCGUGAUGAUUUUGUUCGCUUGAAAUAAC
This 625-nucleotide long non-coding RNA is filed under the name Trifolium pratense (red clover). RNAcentral describes it as "long non-coding RNA (TPRA_LNC013219)". The record is from RNAcentral. Lineage: Eukaryota; Viridiplantae; Streptophyta; Magnoliopsida; Fabales; Fabaceae.